UCCCCCUUGCGAAGGCGGUCUCGCUAGAAAAAUCCAACUAGCGAUAAGGGUUGCGCUCGUUGCGGGACUUAACCCAACAUCUCACGACACGAGCUGACGACGGCCAUGCAACACCUGUCACUGGUCCAACUAAAUGACUCUCUUGUUUCCAAGAAAUACGACCAGGAUGUCAAGCCUGGGUAAGGUUCUUCGCGUAGCUUCGAAUUAAACCACACGCUCCACCGCUUGUGCGGGUCCCCGUCAAUUCCUUUGAGUUUUAAGCUUGCGCUCGUACUCCCCAGGCGGGAUGCUUAACGCGUUAGCUGUGCUACUGAAGGGGUCGAUACCUCCAACAGCUAGCAUCCAUCGUUUACGGCGUGGACUAC
Molecule: unclassified non-coding RNA, 365 nt
Filed under: uncultured bacterium
Lineage: Bacteria
Description: contains 16S-23S intergenic spacer region
Source: RNAcentral